AUGGGGGUCCCCAAAAUACCCGGGGGGGGGCACAGGGGGGACCCCAAAAUACCCGGGGGGAAAAAGGGGGGGGUCAGGGGGGGACCCCAAAAUUCACAGGAGGGACCCCAAAACACACGGGGGGGGUCAGGGGGGGUCAGGGGGGGUCAGGGGGGACCCCAAAAUACCCGGGAGGGUCCCCAAAAACCAGAGAGGGGGGCACGGGGGGAUCAGAGGAAGGGUCUGGGGGUCCCCAAAACCCUCGGGAGGGACCCCAGACCCAUGGAGGGAACCCCAAAACCCACGGGGGGGGUCAGGGGGUCCCCAAAAACCACAGGGGGUGGUCAUGGGAGUCCCCAAAAUACCCGGGGAGGGACCCCAGACCCAUGGAGGGAACCCCAAAACCCCCAGGAGGGACCCCAAAAUCCCGGGGGGGGGGGGCACAGGGGGGUCAGGGAGACCCUAAAAUACCGGGGAGGGGGUACAGGGGGGUCAGGGGGGGUCAGGGGGGUCCCCAAAAUACCCGAGAGGGACCCCAGACCCACGGGAGGGGUCCCCAAAAUCCACAGAGGGGGCAAAGGGGGAAUCAGAGGGACCCCAAAGUCCACAUGGGGGUCCCCAAAAUACCCGGGGGGGGCACGGGGGGACCCCAAAAUACCCGGGGGGGACCCCAGACCCAUAGAGGGGGCACGGGGGGGUCAGGGGAGGGGUCUGGGGGGGGUCACAGGGACCCCAAAAUACCCGGGGGGGAAAAGGGGGGGGUCCGAGGGACCCCAAAAUCCACAUGGGGGACCCCAAAACACACGGGGAGGGACCCCAGACCCAUGGGGGGGGGUCCCCAAAACCCACAGGAGGGGGCACUGGGGGGUCAGGGGGGGCCCCAAAAUCCACAUGGGGGUCCCCAAAACACAAGGUGGGGGGGUCAGGGGGACCCCAAAAUACCCGGGGGGGACCCCAGACCCAUGGAAGGAACCCCAAAACCCCCAGGAGGGACCCCAAAAUACCCGGGGGGGGGGGCAUGUGGGGGGGUCAGGGGGUCCCCAAAACCCACAGGAGGGGGCACAGGGGGGUCAGGGGGGGGUCCCAAAAUACGCGGGGGGGGGUCAGGGGGACCCCAAAAUACCCGGGGGGAAAAAGGGGGGGUCACGGGGACCCCAAAAUUCCCGGGGGGAAAAAGGGGGGGGGUCAGGGGGGGACCCCAAAAUUCACAGGAGGGACCCCAAAACACACGGGGGGGGUCAGGGGGGGUCAGGGGAGGUCAGAGGGGUCCCCAAAAUACCCGGGGGGGGCACGGGGGGUCCCCAAAAUACCCGGGGGGGGGUUAGAGGGACCCCAAAAUACCCGGGGGGGGGCACGGGGGGGUCAGAGGGGGUCCCCAAAACCCGCCGGGGGGGGCACGGGGGGGGUCCCCAAAACGCGUGGGGGGGGCACAGGGGGGUCAGGGGGGACCCCAAAAUACCCGGGAGGGUCCCCAAAAACCAGAGAGGGGGGCACGGGGGGGUCAGAGGAAGGGUCUGGGGGUCCCCAAAACCCUCGGGAGGGACCCCAGACCCAUGGGGGGAGUACGGGGGGGGGCACAGGGGGUCCCCAAAACCCGCGGGGGGGGGUCAGGGAGUCCCCAAAACCUACGGGAGAGGACCCCAGACCCAUGGGGGGGACCCCAAAACCCACAGAGGGGGUCAGGGGGGUCCCCAAACCCUCAGAGAAGACCCCAGACCCACGGUGGGGGGGGGGCUGGGUCACCUCUCAUAG
This 1731-nucleotide long non-coding RNA is filed under the name Catharus ustulatus (Swainson's thrush). RNAcentral describes it as "lncRNA (ENSCUSG00005008609.1)". Lineage: Eukaryota; Metazoa; Chordata; Aves; Passeriformes; Turdidae. The record is from RNAcentral.